RNA transcript from Panicum virgatum (switchgrass), 3793 nucleotides. RefSeq lists it as uncharacterized. NCBI's taxonomy places the organism in Eukaryota, Viridiplantae, Streptophyta, Magnoliopsida, Poales, Poaceae. The transcript is spliced from 14 exons. The record is from RefSeq and is a predicted model, not a curated record.
GGCUCGCAUCGGGACGCGACCCAUGUAACAGCAGCAGCAACGAGCAGCUCCCCACCUCCUCACCCUUUGCCACUCCGAUCGCGGCCGCCCCCGCCGCCGGCGGUGUUCCACUCCAAUGUGGCGUCGCGGGGCGCACGCCGACGCCGACGCCGCGCACCACCUCCCCACCGCGGGCCCGGGCGCGUCCUCCUCCUCCUCUGCCGCCGCCGCGGGCGCGGCGCGGAGGCGGCGGCGCCCCGGGCUGUCGUGCCGGCCGAGCCACCUCUUCUUCGCGCUCCUCGUCGCGCUAUUCACGGCCUCCCUGCUCGUCGUGUGGCAGCUUCUCCCCAUCGGCGACGGCGACGGCGACGCGGCGGCGGAGGGGGGCGGGGAGCCGCCGCCGCCGCCGCCGGAGGGAGGCGACGGCGGGGUGAUGCGGUUCUCGGCCUCGCGCGUGGCGCUGCGCGCGUUCGACGGCGAGAGCCGGCUCGCGGCCGCGAGAUCCGAGCGGCGGCGGUGGGCCGGCCUCGCGCCCGUCAGGGUGGCCCUCGCUGUUGGAAAUUUGAACGUAGAUGCACAAUCCCUGAUGCUUGCAACUGUUGCAAAAGGUCUUGUGGGUCUGGGUUAUGAGGUCGAGGUUUUAGCAUUAACGGAUGGGAAAGCACGUGAUAUUUGGGAAAUUUUUUGCCUUGUAAAUAUUGCGAACAUCGGGACUUUGAAAUAUGUUGACUGGUCAAAGUACAAUGCUGUGUUAUUAAGCUCUCUUGAAGGCAAAAGGGUUGUUUCAAUUCUUAUGCAGGAACCUUUUCGACUUAUACCAGUUGUAUGGCUUAUACACGAAGACACUCUUGGACAACAUCUUAGAAGUUAUGCAGAGUCAAAUGAGUCAAUUUCAAAUGUCGUUGAGGAUUGGAGGGCUCAUUUUCAUGCAUGCACUUAUGUUGUGUUUCCAGAUAGCUACCUUCCUUUCUUAUACUCGCCCCUUGAUUCUGGGAACUUUUUAGUGAUUUCUGGUUCUCCAGUUGAUAUCUGGGCUGCUAAAAGAUUUGGCUCAUCACAUUCUGAAGAGACUAUAAGAAAGCAGCAUGGGAUUAAAGAAGAUGAUGUUGUUAUUUUGGUCAUUGGAAGCUACUUGUUUUUUGACCACUUACCAUCGGAUUAUGCUACAGUCAUGCGUUCAUCAGCUCCACAUAUUUUGGAUAUAGCAAAAUCUAAAAAUCUGAGGGUGCAGUUUGUUUUUUUCUGUGGAAAUGGCUCUGAUGCCUACAACUCUGCUUUCCAGGAACUUGCCUCACACAUGGGUUUACCUGAUGGCUCCAUAAAGCAAUUUUCCAUGACUCACGAUAUUAGGAACCUGUUAAUGUUCGUGGAUGUUGUUGUCUAUGGAUCUUUAAGACAAGAACCUGGUUUCCCUCCUCUGUUAUUGCGGUCCAUGUCCUCUGAGAUUCCAAUUGUUGCACCAAAUCUUACUGCUAUAACAAAAUAUGUCACUGAUGGUGUCCAUGGCUUCCUUUUCGAUUCUGCCGACCCAAGCACAGUUUCUUCAGCUUUUGUACAAAUUUUAGGAGAAAAAAGACUUUUGGAUACUGCCUAUUCUGUUGCUUUGGAAGGGAAGCUACUUUCCAAGAACAUGUUAGCACAUGACUGUAUUACAGCUCAUAUUAAGCUUCUUGAAAGUGUCAUUCAUUUUCCUUCAUACGCAAAAUUACCAUCUUCUGUUUCUAAAGUUCAAGAAAGAACAUGGUUAUGGGAUCCUUUUGAGAUGAAAGCUGCACUAGAAAAUAAUUUGUUGGAAGGUGAAAGCCAUACUAGCACAAAGGCUGUUGAUAUUCUUAGAGAAUUCCCUCAGAGUAACCAAACAACUUAUUCUGAUACCAAUGGUACUUCUUCAUAUGAUUACCCUAGAUUAUCUGAUUGGAAUGAGUUAAGUGAAAUUGAAAUCUUUGAAGACAUUGAAAGGAGAGAAAUGGAGGAGAUUGAUGAAAGGGUGGAAAGGCCUUUGUUAUCAUGGGAUGAAGUCUACAGAAAUGCUCGAAAAUCAGAAAGGCUAAAGCCGGAAGGAAAUGAACGUGAUGAAGGUGAACUCGAAAGGACUGGGCAACCUGUGUGUAUAUAUGAGAUUUACAAUGGAGAGGGUGCAUGGCCAUUUUUACACCAUGGAUCUUUAUACCGCGGUGUUACACUUUCGAAAGGAGGCAGGCGACCGAGGUCAGAUGAUGUUGAUGCUGUUACCAGGCUUUCAGUUCUAGACAACCCAUACUACCGUGAUCUUCUUUGUGAAUUGGGUGCUAUGUUUGCCAUUGCAAACAGAGUUGAUACUGUACAUAAGUUACCAUGGAUAGGUUUCCAGUCAUGGCGGGCUGCUGGAAGAAAGGUAUCCUUGUCUGAAAGUGCUGAAGAAACCUUAGAGGAAACUACGACUGGAGAGAAUAAUGGGGAUGUCAUAUACUACUGGUCACCAAUGGAUAUUGACCAGACUUCUGACUUUUGGUCGAUGUGCGAUUCCCUAAAUGCGGGCAAUUGCAGAUCUCUUUUUGAAGAUGCAUUUAGGACAAUGUAUGGACUGCCCGAGAAUGUAUCUGCCCUUCCACCAAUGCCCAAUGAUGGCGACCGUUGGUCUACUCUACAUAGCUGGUUGAUGCCCACCCCAUCAUUUUUGAAAUUCGUCAUGUUCUCAAGAAUAUUUGUCGAUUCACUUCAUAGUUUGAAUGUGUACCGUACUGAGCCAGCCUCAUGUUUGCUUGGAGCAUCAGAACCUGAGAAAAGGCAUUGCUAUUGUCGAAUCUUGGAAGUCCUUGUAAAUGUUUGGGCGUAUCACAGUGGAAGGAAGAUGGUCUACCUUGACCCUUUUACUGGGGAUAUCAGAGAGCAGCAUCCACUUGAUGAAAGAACUGAGAUGUGGGUUAAGUUCUUCGAUUUCACCCUUCUGAAGAGCAUGGAUGAGGAUCUAGCAGAAGAAGCUGAUGACGGCAUGCAUCCCGGAAAUGAUCAAUGGCUGUGGCCAUUAACUGGCCAGGUGUUCUGGUCUGGCAUUGCUGACCGGGAAAGGGAGGAAAAAUAUAUAAAAAAGCUGGACAAAAAGCUCAAGAACAAGGUGAAAUUGCUCGAAAGGCAGAAGUCUGGGUACAAGCAGAAGCCGCUGGGACAAUGACCGUGACUGAAGCUAUAACAACCCGAUAUUUCAUUUGAUCCACAUCGGGUGCACCUUCAAUCAGACGGGCUCUUGCUUCCAGUUUUCUGAGGCAGCAAUCCGAGAUGAUCUCGUGAAAGAAGAGGUGCAUCACAAAAGGCAAAGUUGUUGUGAAUAUGCAUUGUUUUUACCCCUCCUUGAUCUCCCUCUCCGAAGGAGCUUGGUGAAGUUGGAGGAUAUUGGUAGGAUGGGGAAUCCGAAUCACUGAUCAGUUUUUUGUUCCUGUUCGCAGAAAUUGUGCCAUAUGCUUAUAAUCAUUCUUUAUUUGUCUUCCCCAUCUGCCUUGAAAGGGUAGCCAGAUCAGAAGCGAAAUUUUGGUAGGAUUCAAACUGACCAUCGUUGUAUAUGUACAUUCCCAGGAGAGGGAGGCAUCACCACGGAAGUAAUAAUAAUCAUGUUUCUUGAGAGAGCAUGCUGUUCUGCACUGCUGCUGCUGUCGUAAGGUUUCUCUCCUUCGUGGCUUGGUGGCUUUGCUGCUUGCGAUGACCCAUGACCGUUGGCGUGUGCGAGCGGAGCCGCGUGAGUUGGACAGCGAUGUGGGAGUUGUCGAGGUGUAAAAAAUAUUUGAUAAAAACAAUCGUGUAACAAAAUUUGUUAACCAAAGCUCGAUGGGAGGUUGCCUGA